UUGUGCAUCUGAGAAGCGGAACAUUCCACAAAGCGUCGAUAUGGAGAUGGUAUGUUAUGAAAAUGUCCAAAGUUCUAACGCAUAUACAACCGUCCAGGCCGAUUCUAGAUUACCUACAAUUCCUAAAGACAACACUCAAGGCACGAACAAGAAAACUCUGAUUGUUCUCGCGAUAUCUUUAGGAAUCUGCUUCUCAGUGUCUGUUGCUGCAUUUAUCCUGAUCAUGCAAUUACCUAAGUUUAAGCAAUAUGUACACUUCUAGUCUUCUUGAGAAUGAAACAUAAUUUGUGAGCUAUCAGAAAGGAUGUACGUCAACUUGAAUCUAAAAUCUUCAUGGCGAAUAACAAAUUGAAUGCAAGCCUAACUGAAGCAAAUUCGAGGAUUACCGAAAUGUCCAGAUGGUUCAGAGCAAGCAAUGAUUUCACUUACAAACGUUUCACUGAUUCUGUCAACUACGCAACUGCAAAGGCUCGGUGUGAAGUAAU
This is a non-coding RNA of Styela clava, 485 nucleotides long. The record is from RefSeq and is a predicted model, not a curated record. NCBI's taxonomy places the organism in Eukaryota, Metazoa, Chordata, Ascidiacea, Stolidobranchia, Styelidae.